CUCCGGGAGGAGUCCCAAAUAGGACGAAACACGCGUCCUGGAU
RNAcentral lists this non-coding RNA (43 nucleotides) under Schistosoma curassoni. The record is from RNAcentral. Lineage: Eukaryota; Metazoa; Platyhelminthes; Trematoda; Strigeidida; Schistosomatidae.